This 440-nucleotide ribosomal RNA is filed under the name uncultured bacterium. RNAcentral describes it as "partial 16S ribosomal RNA". It matches the Rfam family "Bacterial small subunit ribosomal RNA", at positions 338 to 795 of the family's 1533-position model. The record is from RNAcentral.
CCUACGGGUGGCAGCAGUAGGGAAUAUUGCACAAUUGGGGAAACCCUGAUGCAGCGACGCCGCGUGCGUGAAGAAGUAAUUCGUUAUGUAAAGCUCUAUCAGCAGGGAAGAAAAUGACGGUACCUGAGUAAGAAGCCCCGGCUAACUACGUGCCAGCAGCCGCGGUAAUCCGUAGGGGGCCAGCGUUAUCCGGAUUUCCUGGGUGUAAAGGGAGCGUAGACGGCAGUGCAAGUCUGGAGUGAAAGGCGGGGGCUCAACCCACGGACUGCGCGGGAAACUGUACGGCGGGAGUGCAGGAGAGGUAAGUGGAAUUCGUAGGGUAGCGGUGAAAUGCGUAGAUAUUAGGAGGAACGCCAGUGGCGAAGGCGGCUUACUGGACUGUAACUGACGUUGAGGCUCGAAAGCGUGAGGAGCAAACAGGAUUAGAUACCCGAGUAGUC